CGGCACGCCUAACACAUGCAAGUCGAACGAAGUGCAAUACUUAGUGGCAGACGGGUGAGUAACAUGUGGGUAUCUACCCUUUGGCCUGGAAUAACACGAGGAAACUUGUGCUAAUACCGGAUAAGUCUUUACGGAGAAAGCUUUAUGCACCAUUGGAUGAGCCCGCACUUGAUUAGUUUGUUGGUAGGGUAAUGGCCUACCAAGACUAUGAUCAAUAGCUGAUUUGAGAGGAUGAUCAGCCACAUUGGGACUGAGACACGGCCCAAACUCCUACGGGAGGCAGCAGUGGGGAAUCUUGCACAAUGGAGGAAACUCUGAUGCAGCGAUGCCGCGUGAGUGAAGAAGGCCCUUGGGUUGUAAAGCUCUUUCGUCGGGGAAGAAAAUGACUGUACCCGAAUAAGAAGGU
Molecule: ribosomal RNA, 406 nt
Filed under: uncultured bacterium
Lineage: Bacteria
Description: bacterial SSU rRNA
Rfam family: Bacterial small subunit ribosomal RNA
Source: RNAcentral